Molecule: non-coding RNA, 70 nt
Organism: Podarcis lilfordi (Lilford's wall lizard)
Lineage: Eukaryota; Metazoa; Chordata; Lepidosauria; Squamata; Lacertidae
Source: the annotation of a GenBank genome assembly
GGAUAGCUCAGUUGGUUAGAGUGUGGUGCUGAUAAUGUCAAGGUUGCAGGUUCGAUAUCCGUUUGGGACA